This is a long non-coding RNA of Mesocricetus auratus (golden hamster), 786 nucleotides long. RefSeq lists it as uncharacterized. The record is from RefSeq and is a predicted model, not a curated record. The transcript has 2 exons. NCBI's taxonomy places the organism in Eukaryota, Metazoa, Chordata, Mammalia, Rodentia, Cricetidae.
GCUUUGUCGAACCACACCAGGCAGGAUGAUGCCAUCCAGCGGGGGGGUCGCCAGCUCCAGCACUGAGUCAGGGAUGACAGACGGGCGUCUUUCAGAAGCGACAUGCCCAGGACAAGCAACCCAGUGGGAAUUAGCCUGCUGUGUGAUGCCCACAGCGUCACUCACGCCUCACCCGAGACUCCUCACUGUCCCAGAACGGAUUCCACGCCGCGUUCUGGGCCCUGUACAAACGCUGCUCUUAUUUGCUUCCCUCGUGCCAACUGAGAUCCUACCCCACUCACAAGGGCCCGGAGGUAGGAAAUGGUUGCCACCUUUUUCUUUCCUUAGUGGGGUUUGAACUCAGGAUUCCCGCUUGCUAGGUAAACAGUCUAUCUGUUCCUAACCCGGCUCUCCUUUCACCUUUAACGUUAGACACAAGGCUAUCCAAGGACGCAGAGAAAGCCCAGAGAAACCACAGAGCCCUGACAAGAGCUUCCCAACCAAUAGGGAACACUGUCGUUGGUAUUCAGGCAGCUGCACUGGCCUGUCCUUGGGGUUCUGACGGAUACGCCCUCAGCUGCAGCCACUCAGAGCAGCACCUGUGCUCACUCACUGUGUUCCCUUUUAGAAGGUCCCGCCCACCUCCCUCCUUCUCUCUCUCUCUUCCUCUCCCUCUCUCUGUUCCCCCUUCUCAUUUCUUUCUCUCCCCCUUUCCUCUCUCCUGCUCCCAUCCCCAGAGGCCGGUCUCUCCCCAACCCCGUUUGUGAUCCCUUUCCCUAAUUAAAAAAAAAAAAAAAAAAAAAAAAA